This is a non-coding RNA of Chrysemys picta bellii (western painted turtle), 205 nucleotides long. The record is from RefSeq and is a predicted model, not a curated record. Lineage: Eukaryota; Metazoa; Chordata; Testudines; Emydidae.
CCAGUCACCCGCAAUCCCCUGCGUUGCGCGACGUGCCCCCGGCUCUGCGGGGUGCAGGCCCCUCUGGUCUCCAGGCUGAGCCGUGCCAGGCAGGGGAUCUCCAGGCAGGGCAACCGGGACUCCAGCUCCUCUCUGGAAGGGAAAACCGGAGUCAUCAACACUCCAGCUCAGGCCGGCAACCGGAACUCCAGCGCCUCUCUGGAAG